GUAGGUGGCAAGCGUUGUCCGGAAUUAUUGGGCGUAAAGCGCGCGCAGGCGGUUCUUUAAGUCUGAUGUGAAAGCCCACGGCUCAACCGUGGAGGGUCAUUGGAAACUGGAGAACUUGAGUACAGAAGAGGAAAGCGGAAUUCCACGUGUAGCGGUGAAAUGCGUAGAGAUGUGGAGGAACACCAGUGGCGAAGGCGGCUUUCUGGUCUGUGACUGACGCUGAGGCGCGAAAGCGUGGGGGGAGCAAACAGGAUUAGAUACCCUGGUAGUCCACGCCGUAAACGAUGAGUGCUAAGUGUUAGGGGGUUUCCGCCCCCCCCUUAGUGCUGCAGCUAACGCAUUAAGCACUCCGCCUGGGAGUACGGCCGCAAGGCUA
RNAcentral lists this ribosomal RNA (376 nucleotides) under uncultured organism. Its description in RNAcentral is "partial 16S ribosomal RNA". It matches the Rfam family "Bacterial small subunit ribosomal RNA", at positions 527 to 896 of the family's 1533-position model. The record is from RNAcentral.